RNAcentral lists this non-coding RNA (29 nucleotides) under Rattus norvegicus (Norway rat). The record is from RNAcentral. Lineage: Eukaryota; Metazoa; Chordata; Mammalia; Rodentia; Muridae.
UAUGUCCUCUUGAGGUAAUAUCACAGAAC